Molecule: long non-coding RNA, 4250 nt
Organism: Mustela erminea (ermine)
Lineage: Eukaryota; Metazoa; Chordata; Mammalia; Carnivora; Mustelidae
Exons: 8
Source: RefSeq, a predicted model, not a curated record
CGUUGGCUACGCCUUCAGGGCGCGCCCGGAGCGCGGUGCGGGGAGCGAGCGGUUGGGCCUGGCGGGCUGCGGCGAGGCGGGUGGUCGCCUCCGGGAGCGCGGGAGAACUUUAACCCGCCCAGUUCGGAGUUGAGAAUUGCUAGCGCCCCCUCCCCGGGCUUGAGAAGAGGGAGAGCAGGGAAGGACAGUGAAGGACUCGGUGCCUAACCUUGAGUUUUACGAUACAUUCAUUUAGGGGUUCGAAACAUACUAGUUUUGCUCCACAAGUCGCCGCCAGGGCGGCCACCGAACCCCUCCGACCCCCGUGGAGGCCAGCUAGUGCUACGUUGCACGGGGUCCGCGUGGACGCGCCACUUGAACAGUGGGGACAAUCCGCGUCAUCACGAAUGUCCUCCCGCUUAGGGCUUUUUUGGAAAGUCUCUCGAAGGUCUGAGUGGGGGAGACCCGGGCGUAAAGGCCUCCAGCCAGGAGCCAGGGGCUCCCCACCCAACCACCCCUUGUGACCCCAUGAGAGCGCUACGCUGACCAGUGCCCCGAGGUCUGUGAGGACCGCGUGGGAGGCCGCGCCCCGCAGUCUCGGUCUCCCAGCGCGGGUCAGGACCCGCUGCAGUUGCUCUUAUGCCCUACGAGUCGCGGCGAGAAGGGCGCAAUGUCAAGAUCGUUCUUCCAGCCGAGCCGGCGAGCCAGGGCCUGCUCCCGCCUCCCGCUGGGGAGGCGCCGGGCUCAGCCCGCUUCAGGGCCCCGCUGAGGGCGCGUUUCUUGGGAUUCGCGCCGCACGGUCGGCCUGGGUGUUGGGAGAGAGGGCAGCAAACAAGAUCUUUCUCUGGGUGGGAAGCCCCAUUUCGCGCCAAAGCGGGUCGGGUAAACAGGUCGCGCGAACGUUCCAUGGAACUGGAAGCCCCGGGGACAUUGCUGGCAACCUCCUACGCCGACCGACCAAACGGGAGCCCUCUCACCAAUAACGGACAUGCUGAAGUUGCCAAAUGGAGAUGAGAGGCCCUGGAGGAUGAGAGUUCACAUGGAGAAGAACUGAGGCAUGUCGGCCAAUAGCCAGCACCAAAGGCUGGCCAUAUAAUGUGGCCCAGUAACAGGAGACGUACGGUAGUCACAUGGGAACCUGUGUUAGUUUGUCUCUGAGACUCUACGCAUAGCCUCAUUUGAAGAUUAUGGUCGGAAGUCUAAAUCUGAAGCUCUUUGUGAAAAUGAAGUUUGAGCCAAAGGCACUCCUGCCAGAUGCUGAAUCUGCUGAUCCCAUGAUCUUGGACUUCCUGGCUUUCAGGCUGUAAGAAACAAAUAUUUGUUGCUGGUAACCCACCAAGUUUAAGCUUCCACAGUCACUUGGGACCAUGAGAUGACUUUGAAGAAGAAAGCAAGGUUUGAAAAGAUGUCAGCUGAAUACACAAGUCUAAGUAGCCAUGGGGUGCCUCCUGCCAUAGGCCUUUGAGAACCACAGAGGAAGCUGGGAGGUCCGUCUGGGCGUCAGCGGAGCACCCGGACCAGAAAGGUGACCCCCGAGGGAGCCCACAGAGGACUUCAGUGACAACAUGGAUGUGUGAAAACUCUUUCACACACAUGGAGCCAGGUGCUGGCUGUGUGGAGGAGCCUGCGUGGGCCAAAUGGUAUGAGUUGCAGAUAGCGCCCUGGUGACCUUGACAAGGACGGCCACUACUGAGAACCAGGCAGGAAACUCUCUUUGUCGGUAAGAAGUCUACACCUCCGUUCCUAUGAGGAUCUUCUGUUUGGGGGAGCAACACCAGCCACCAGGGGGACAUGGGGCUUUAGCCAGCUCUGCUCCAGGGAUCCAACAGUCAACAAAACCAGUGAGGCACCCCAAAGGUCGGAAGCUGAAAACAGAUACCCACAGCCAGUUCUUCACAAACAAGAGGUUUUAUUUUUAUGCUGUACCCCCACCCUCUGCCAAAUAAGUGGGGAGAGCUCUGAAAGGGCAGAUUUUGUAGUUGAGAGCCACUGAGGGCAAGUGAAGCUGAGAUUCAUGCCUGGCAUAGGGGAGCAAAGGAAGAAGGACCGAGGUGUCUGGGGAGUGCCCCACCUGUGCUAGACACCUCCCAGGGUUCUGCAGGAGGGAGUGAACCCAGACCCACACUGCACAGGGAAUCUGUCCCUCUGUGGGCCCAAGGGCAGAAAGAAGACAUCCUAAGAGCUUUGCAAAGGUAUCUUCCCCUUGGUGGCCGGGCCUCACCUCACAGGCCUCAAUAAUUCCUGUCCUACCCUGUCAGGAUGGUCAGCUAUCAUCCAUCUCUCCAGCCAAAAGACCCAGCCCUAGUCGGCUCCUGGGAGAUGUUUCCAGACAAUAUUACAUUCUUAAGGAGCCUGUCUCUUUUGAUUAACAAGACCUUUUACUUUUCUUCUGAAUUCUAUAUAAAUAGCCAGAACAUGUGCCCCACUAAAGGCAAGGGUGGGGAAGGGUGUUCCCUGGUGCCCUGGUCUCUUGGGUCUGAGCUUUGCCAGCAAGGUCACUAUUACCCCCAGAUGACUCUGGGUCUUGGCCAAACCAGCAAGUGUUCACUCAGAUCACAGCUCCCUUCCCAUUUAGGCUGUUCAGUAGCUUUCCGGUUGCUCUCCAGACACAACCUAAAAGGUUCAACGAGGCUGACCCCUUGGGUUCUGGCCUGGGCACUGAACCUUUGAGCAUGUGCCCGAAACCAGGGCCAUUUCCCCCACUGAUAAUCUCAGGGUGGAUAACAUAGCCAGGACCAGACAGACUUUAACCCACUGUCCCAGGGAUGCAGUCCUCUAUACUGCAAGAAAGAAUGCUAAAAGGCAGACUUCUGGCUGACAAACUGGAAACCUGUCAGGAAUAUGUCCUUGCUGGUCAAAGAGACCAAGGAAGGACCUGGGGUUGGGAUCCAAAAACCAUGCAGUGAGCUUACCAUCAUGCUGGUGCCCGCUAUCCCAAAUAAAGACAGAGAGCAUGUUGUCCAGAAGCCAGAGAGCAAGGGGGUGGAUUGUCGGGUAGCAGAAGGCAUCUCUGUUUGAGUGCGGCUGCAGUGGGACCGUCAGUUUCCACAGCCUGCAAGAUGCCCCCUGACACUGAGGGGUUGCCAGCCAUCUUCCUCCUUCUCUUUGACUGGGUUUCAGCAGCUGUUCCUGCAGCUGUUCCUGCAGCUCCCAGCACAGUCCUCAGACGUCAAGAUACACUGGUCCCAUGGCUAUCCAGUGUGAACAGCGCUCCCUGGAGUUAUGCAAGUUGAGGGCCUUGACUACAUUUCUUCAAGCAGGACCCCAUGACCCUCCUGAAGAGUCCAAAUCCCUCUUGAAGCUACAGGACCCUUUCUGGAUGUUGGAGAGUAACUGCUCAGAUCUCUCCACCCCCUGCCCUCCAGACAAGAAGAUCUAUGAGGGCAGAGAAGAAGCUGUGCUCUCUGGUGGUUGAGUGUUUCACUUCUAUAUCUCCACUUGAUUGCCCAUGUUUGGCCACAGAGGAGAUACUCAAUAAAUGUUGAAUGAAUGAACACAUUCCCAUCCCCCCAUUCCUGCCCCCGACCAUUGCAGGCCUGCCACCCACCCUGAGCUCCUGAAGCUCUGAGUCCAUUUGGGAGGCAUCAGUUAUUUCUAUGUUUGCCCUUUUUCUCUCUUAGGAACAGUUGGUGCUGAAUCAUUCUGCCUGGAGAUAAAGACUCCCCAAGGCCACUUCCCUGCAUGUGGGACUUCCAGAAUGCCUGGGAGAAAUCGGCAGUCCUGCCUGCCCAGCUGCCACACGUGGACACAUCUUUUUACUGUUUGAGCUUUCCUUGAUGCUCAUUAUAACCCAAAUCCAGGAAUCUAAAGCUGUGGGCUGAGUGAGGAUGAGCAGGGAAAGGGGGUCAGGGAGGCAGGCAUGCAGGGUAUCAUGGCCAGUGGGUAUGCUGUUGCUGAUGCAUGGCUGUGUCCCUGUCCCCACACUUCCUCCCCAGAACCAAUGGCCCUGAGCUAGGAAUCCAGCAUUUCGUGAAUAUUGCUUCUGUAAACGGAAUCCUCUUUUUCCAUCCCCUUCUAUCAUCACACAUCAAAAUGAAUUCUCAUAUAGAAAGGUUCUAUUCCUAAGAUAAAAUACAAAUCACAACAAUAAUGUAUCAAGUAUAUUUUAAUCAUAUCUUUGGAAAACUAGAUGUUUUUGAUAAAAAUUAAUUAAAAUCACUCCUUAUAUACACAUAGUACCAAAAUGUUAAGGUAUUGCUAAAUCCUGUCUUCCUUUGGGAUGAGUGUCCCUUAUCUCAAGUGACAGGAAAAUAAAGAAAAUAUUUUCUUUU